RNAcentral lists this ribosomal RNA (433 nucleotides) under uncultured bacterium. RNAcentral's name for it is "partial 16S ribosomal RNA". It matches the Rfam family "Bacterial small subunit ribosomal RNA", at positions 29 to 507 of the family's 1533-position model. The record is from RNAcentral.
AGCGAACGCUGGCGGCAGGCCUAACACAUGCAAGUCGAACGAACUCUUCGGAGUUAGUGGCGGACGGGUGAGUAACACGUGGGAACGUGCCUUUAGGUUCGGAAUAACUCAGGGAAACUUGUGCUAAUACCGAAUGUGCCCUUCGGGGGAAAGAUUUAUCGCCUUUAGAGCGGCCCGCGUCUGAUUAGCUAGUUGGUGAGGUAAAGGCUCACCAAGGCGACGUUCAGUAGCUGGUCUGAGAGGAUGAUCAGCCACAUUGGGACUGAGACACGGCCCAAACUCCUACGGGAGGCAGCAGUGGGGAAUCUUGCGCAAUGGGCGAAAGCCUGACGCAGCCAUGCCGCGUGAAUGAUGAAGGUCUUAGGAUUGUAAAAUUCUUUCACCGGGGACGAUAAUGACGGUACCCGGAGAAGAAGCCCCGGCUAACUUCGUG